CCUACGGGGGGCAGCAGUGGGGAAUAUUGCACAAUGGGGGAAACCCUGAUGCAGCGACGCCGCGUGAAGGAAGAAGUAUUUCGGUAUGUAAACUUCUAUUAGCAGGGAAGAAAAUGACGGUACCUGACUAAGAAGCCCCGGCUAACUACGUGCCAGCAGCCGCGGUAAUACGCAGGGGGCAAGCGUUAUCCGGAUUUACUGGGUGUAAAGGGAGCGUAGGCGGUUUAGCAAGUCAGAAGUGAAAGCUCGGGGCUCAACUCCGGGACUGCGUUUGAAACUGUUGAACUUGAGUGCAGGGGAGGUAGGUGGAAUUCCUAGUGUAGCGGUGAAAUGCGUAGAUAUUAGGAGGAACACCAGUGGCGAAGGCGGCUUGCUGGACUGUAAAUGACGCUGAGGCUCGAAAGCGUGGGGAGCAAACAGGAUUAGAUACCCUGGUAGUC
RNAcentral lists this ribosomal RNA (440 nucleotides) under uncultured bacterium. RNAcentral describes it as "partial 16S ribosomal RNA". It matches the Rfam family "Bacterial small subunit ribosomal RNA", at positions 338 to 795 of the family's 1533-position model. The record is from RNAcentral.